AUUGAACGCUGGCGGCAGGCCUAACACAUGCAAGUCGAGCGGAAGAAGGGAGCUUGCUCCUGGAUUCAGCGGCGGACGGGUGGGUAAUGCCUAGGAAUCUGCCUGGUAGUGGGGGAUAACGUCCGGAAACGGGCGCUAAUACCGCAUACGUCCUGAGGGAGAAAGUGGGGGAUCUUCGGACCUCACGCUAUCAGAUGAGCCUAGGUCGGAUUAGCUAGUUGGUGGGGUAAAGGCCUACCAAGGCGACGAUCCGUAACUGGUUUGAGAGGAUGAGCAGUCACACUGAAACUGAGAACGGUGCCGAAUCCCUACGGGAGGCAGCAGUGGGGAAUAUUGGAAAAGGGGCGAAAGCCGGAUCCAGCCAUGCCGGGGGGGUGAAGAAGGUCUUCGGAUGGUAAAGCACUUUAAGGUGGGAGGAAGGGCAGUAAGUUAAGACCUUGCUGUUUGGACGUUACCAACAGAAUAGACACCGGCUAACUUCGU
This 483-nucleotide ribosomal RNA is filed under the name uncultured bacterium. Its description in RNAcentral is "partial 16S ribosomal RNA". It matches the Rfam family "Bacterial small subunit ribosomal RNA", at positions 29 to 506 of the family's 1533-position model. The record is from RNAcentral.